GUAGCUGCCUGGAGCUUGAGGGGGUGGGGAGUACUGUGUCUGGAGUAGGCUGCAACCUUGUAGCACCUUGUUCGGAGCAGUGCAGGCAGGAAUCUGGGGAGAAGAGAAAGAGCUCUGUCUGAGUAGCUGAGAUGGAGCUGUGGCUGUGAGGAAUUGGCCCAGGGAAAUGCAGCAAUGGAGAGGCAAAGGAAUACAGCGCAGCGGAUGCUACACACAGACACGAGGCCCAGGACCUUCUCCUCCCCAGCUAAUUGGAAGCCUUUGAGGAGGACCGCUGGGGGGUCCCGACGACUGCUGGAUUUCAUCACAGGCGGGGAGACCCUCUGGGAUGAUGGACACCAGGAAAGCAGGACCCUCCACAGGUGGAGUCCAGUAUCGCAGGAUCUAGUCACAUGCCCUUGCAUGCUUCGAGUCAUAGAAGCCAUCACUUGUAUCCUAGCUGAAUCAUCCGCAGGAGAGCCCAUCAGGCGAGGAUGAGCUUUUCCCAUGGCCCAUUGUUUUCACUGAGGGGCCAUAACCUUGAAAAGUCCCUUCCAAUCUAGCCAGCACACUGUGAUGUAAAUUAACUUGUGGGAGUUACCCAGGAGCAAGCACAUUUGAAAUACAGAUGCAAAGUCUAUUAACUUCAGAUACAAAAAUGAUACACAUACAAAUAGGAUAAUCGUAUUCAGCAAACCACAACUUUUCCAAUGCCACCUCACAUGACACAUGUACAAAUCCUAUCAUAAUCCUAUCACUAUGAUGAAUAUGGGAUGCAGAGUGUUACCUUGGGGCACAGAUUGUCACACUGAGGUGCACCAAUUCCAGAAGCCCCUGCAUGCUGCAGAGGAAGGCAUCUCCCUGCC
Molecule: long non-coding RNA, 845 nt
Organism: Dermochelys coriacea (leatherback sea turtle)
Lineage: Eukaryota; Metazoa; Chordata; Testudines; Dermochelyidae
Exons: 3
Source: RefSeq, a predicted model, not a curated record